CGUUUGGAAAGAUUUUUCGGUUGGGGAUGGGCUCGCGGCCUAUCAGCUUGUUGGUGAGGUAAUGGCUCACCAAGGCGUCGACGGGUAGCCGGCCUGAGAGGGUGACCGGCCACACUGGGACUGAGACACGGCCCAGACUCCUACGGGAGGCAGCAGUGGGGAAUAUUGCACAAUGGGCGAAAGCCUGAUGCAGCAACGCCGCGUGAGGGAUGACGGCCUUCGGGUUGUAAACCUCUUUUAGCAGGGAAGAAGCGAAAGUGACGGUACCUGCAGAAAAAGCGCCGGCUAACUACGUGCCAGCAGCCGCGGUAAUACGUAGGGCGCAAGCGUUAUCCGGAAUUAUUGGGCGUAAAGAGCUCGUAGGCGGUUUGUCGCGUCUGCUGUGAAAUCCCGAGGCUCAACCUCGGGCCUGCAGUGGGUACGGGCAGACUAGAGUGCGGUAGGGGAGAUUGGAAUUCCUGGUGUAGCGGUGGAAUGCGCAGAUAUCAGGAGGAACACCGAUGGCGAAGGCAGAUCUCUGGGCCGUAACUGACGCUGAGGAGCGAAAGGGUGGGGAGCAAACAGGCUUAGAUACCCUGGUAGUCCACCCCGUAAACGUUGGGAACUAGUUGUGGGGUCCAUUCCACGGAUUCCGUGACGCAGCUAACGCAUUAAGUUCCCCGCCCU
This 666-nucleotide ribosomal RNA is filed under the name Microbacterium paraoxydans. RNAcentral describes it as "bacterial SSU rRNA". It matches the Rfam family "Bacterial small subunit ribosomal RNA", at positions 196 to 873 of the family's 1533-position model. Lineage: Bacteria; Bacillati; Actinomycetota; Actinomycetes; Micrococcales; Microbacteriaceae. The record is from RNAcentral.